RNAcentral lists this ribosomal RNA (463 nucleotides) under Bacillus sp. oral taxon B77. RNAcentral describes it as "bacterial SSU rRNA". It matches the Rfam family "Bacterial small subunit ribosomal RNA", at positions 28 to 464 of the family's 1533-position model. The record is from RNAcentral. Lineage: Bacteria; Bacillati; Bacillota; Bacilli; Caryophanales; Bacillaceae.
GACGAACGCUGGCGGCGUGCCUAAUACAUGCAAGUCGAGCGCAGGAAGUCAUCCGAACCCUUCGGGGGGACGUUGACGGAAUGAGCGGCGGACGGGUGAGUAACACGUAAAGAACCUGCCCUCAGGUCUGGGAUAACCACGAGAAAUCGGGGCUAAUACCGGAUGGGUCAUCGGACCGCAUGGUCCGAGGAUGAAAGGCGCUUCGGCGUCGCCUGGGGAUGGCUUUGCGGUGCAUUAGCUAGUUGGUGGGGUAACGGCCCACCAAGGCGACGAUGCAUAGCCGACCUGAGAGGGUGAUCGGCCACACUGGGACUGAGACACGGCCCAGACUCCUACGGGAGGCAGCAGUAGGGAAUCUUCCACAAUGGACGAAAGUCUGAUGGAGCAACGCCGCGUGAACGAUGAAAGGCCUUCGGGUCGUAAAGUUUCUGUUGUAAAGGGAAAGAAACAAAGUGCCCGCAAG